UCCUUCAAGUUUGCGUAGUUUGUGGAAGAA
RNAcentral lists this non-coding RNA (30 nucleotides) under Rattus norvegicus (Norway rat). Lineage: Eukaryota; Metazoa; Chordata; Mammalia; Rodentia; Muridae. The record is from RNAcentral.